This 1372-nucleotide ribosomal RNA is filed under the name uncultured bacterium. RNAcentral describes it as "bacterial SSU rRNA". It matches the Rfam family "Bacterial small subunit ribosomal RNA", at positions 28 to 1381 of the family's 1533-position model. The record is from RNAcentral.
GAUGAACGCUGGCGGCGUGCCUAAUACAUGCAAGUCGAGCGAACGGACGAGAAGCUUGCUUCUCUGAUGUUAGCGGCGGACGGGUGAGUAACACGUGGAUAACCUACCUAUAAGACUGGGAUAACUUCGGGAAACCGGAGCUAAUACCGGAUAAUAUUUUGAACCGCAUGGUUCAAAAGUGAAAGACGGUCUUGCUGUCACUUAUAGAUGGAUCCGCGCUGCAUUAGCUAGUUGGUAAGGUAACGGCUUACCAAGGCAACGAUGCAUGGCCGACCUGAGAGGGUGAUCGGCCACACUGGAACUGAGACACGGUCCAGACUCCUACGGGAGGCAGCAGUAGGGAAUCUUCCGCAAUGGGCGAAAGCCUGACGGAGCAACGCCGCGUGAGUGAUGAAGGUCUUCGGAUCGUAAAACUCUGUUAUUAGGGAAGAACAUAUGUGUAAGUAACUGUGCACAUCUUGACGGUACCUAAUCAGAAAGCCACGGCUAACUACGUGCCAGCAGCCGCGGUAAUACGUAGGUGGCAAGCGUUAUCCGGAAUUAUUGGGCGUAAAGCGCGCGUAGGCGGUUUUUUAAGUCUGAUGUGAAAGCCCACGGCUCAACCGUGGAGGGUCAUUGGAAACUGGAAAACUUGAGUGCAGAAGAGGAAAGUGGAAUUCCAUGUGUAGCGGUGAAAUGCGCAGAGAUAUGGAGGAACACCAGUGGCGAAGGCGACUUUCUGGUCUGUAACUGACGCUGAUGUGCGAAAGCGUGGGGAUCAAACAGGAUUAGAUACCCUGGUAGUCCACGCCGUAAACGAUGAGUGCUAAGUGUUAGGGGGUUUCCGCCCCUUAGUGCUGCAGCUAACGCAUUAAGCACUCCGCCUGGGGAGUACGACCGCAAGGUUGAAACUCAAAGGAAUUGACGGGGACCCGCACAAGCGGUGGAGCAUGUGGUUUAAUUCGAAGCAACGCGAAGAACCUUACCAAAUCUUGACAUCCUUUGACAACUCUAGAGAUAGAGCUUUCCCCUUCGGGGGACAAAGUGACAGGUGGUGCAUGGUUGUCGUCAGCUCGUGUCGUGAGAUGUUGGGUUAAGUCCCGCAACGAGCGCAACCCUUAAGCUUAGUUGCCAUCAUUAAGUUGGGCACUCUAAGUUGACUGCCGGUGACAAACCGGAGGAAGGUGGGGAUGACGUCAAAUCAUCAUGCCCCUUAUGAUUUGGGCUACACACGUGCUACAAUGGACAAUACAAAGGGCAGCGAAACCGCGAGGUCAAGCAAAUCCCAUAAAGUUGUUCUCAGUUCGGAUUGUAGUCUGCAACUCGACUACAUGAAGCUGGAAUCGCUAGUAAUCGUAGAUCAGCAUGCUACGGUGAAUACGUUCCCGGGUCU